This 232-nucleotide ribosomal RNA is filed under the name Camponotus sp. CSG15.01. RNAcentral describes it as "partial large subunit ribosomal RNA". Lineage: Eukaryota; Metazoa; Arthropoda; Insecta; Hymenoptera; Formicidae. The record is from RNAcentral.
GAAUUUUAUAUAAAUUUUGAUUAUAUUGUAAAUAAGUAAAAAUUAAAUUAAAAUUUAUAUUUAGUUGGGAGGAUUGUUAAAUUUAAAAAACUUUAAUAGUAAUAAAACAUUAAUUUAUGAUAUAUAAGAUUUAUAAGUGAUUAAGAUUGAAGAUAGUCUUAUGGAAGAAUUAAUUACCUUAGGGAUAACAGCGUAAUAUUUUUAAAAAGAUCUUAUUAAUAAAAAUGAUUGC